AGUGAUUCGGCCUUAGGAAGGGAAGUCCGAUCGGCAGGAACCUGGCACCCGAGGAGGAAAGGAUCGAGCUCGUCACCCUGCGGCAGUCCGAGUGGACGUCUUUCAGGAGAAUCACGAGAGUUUUUGAGGAUCCUGAAAGUGUAUGUUUAUUUGCACGAGUUCAAUAAGAAUCUCCUUUCCUUGUGAGAAGACUAAUUAAGAACACUGGUUAUACUGCCAGGGCUUUGACUGGAAUGUCAUACCUGAGAGACAUGUGCAUGGACUCAGAUGUGAACAACUUUAAGGAACUAAGAUUGACUUUAUAAAGCCAACAAAGCCCCUUGGAAGAACUGGCCUGGUACCUUGCUUACAGAGUUCCCAGCAGCCUUACCGGGUGAGUAAGGAAGGUCACUUCCUGGCAGGUGCAGAGACCUCGAGAAGAGAAGAAUUCAUCCAAAUCUACAGGUACUGCAGGCAAAGCCUGAUGGCAAGUCUGGCUUGGCUGUCUGGCCUCAAGAGGCCUUUAAAAGUUCAAUCUGAAACUCCUUACAAAAAGUUCCAGCAAAGCAUAUUUAAAAGAGCCUGUGUAAUCAAUUGCUCUUCUUGCUGCACUUGUGCAAAUAAUCAAGCCAGCUGUUAAUUAUUUUCUUAACCUGGUUACUUCUAAUAAAAAUGAGGGUGAUUUUAGAGAAAAGUAUUGUUUCAAUAACGCAGCCUCCUUCCAGAAUAGAAAAUCCAACUCCAGAUGUUGCUACAUAACCUAAUAACACAAUUUGUUUUAUCUUGCCUAGAAGCCACUAAACUGCAAAUAGUAAUAGAAACGAAAUCCAGAAUUGAAGUGCCAGCUUUCUGAGGCCCUCUCAACUGACCAGUGAUGGAGACCUAGCUGCACCCUUUACUGCGCCCCCUUCUCAGCACGAAGCAGCCAGAGCGGUCAUCGCCCCUUUUCCCUAGCAGCAGCUAGAGUCUCUAUCUGUAGA
Long non-coding RNA from Manis pentadactyla (Chinese pangolin), 959 nucleotides. RefSeq lists it as uncharacterized. The record is from RefSeq and is a predicted model, not a curated record. NCBI's taxonomy places the organism in Eukaryota, Metazoa, Chordata, Mammalia, Pholidota, Manidae. The transcript is spliced from 2 exons.